This 305-nucleotide ribosomal RNA is filed under the name uncultured bacterium. Its description in RNAcentral is "bacterial SSU rRNA". It matches the Rfam family "Bacterial small subunit ribosomal RNA", at positions 338 to 641 of the family's 1533-position model. The record is from RNAcentral.
CCUACGGGAGGCAGCAGUGAGGAAUAUUGGUCAAUGGGCGGGAGCCUGAACCAGCCAAGCCGCGUGAAGGAAGAAGGCGCCAAGCGUCGUAAACUUCUUUUGUCGGGGAACAAAGGGCGCCACGUGUGGCGUUGUGAGUGUACCAGAAGAAAAAGCAUCGGCUAACUCCGUGCCAGCAGCCGCGGUAAUACGGAGGAUGCGAGCGUUAUCCGGAUUUAUUGGGUUUAAAGGGUGCGUAGGCGGUCCGUUAAGUCAGCGGUAAAAUUGCGGGGCUCAACCCCGUCGAGCCGUUGAAACUGGCAGAC